UACGGAGGAGGCGAGCGUUGUUCGGAAUCACUGGGCUUAAAGCGCGUGUAGGCGGAUUGGCAGGUGUCUUGUGAAAGCCCUCGGCUCAACCGAGGAAUUGCAGGGCAAACCGCCAGUCUUGAGGCAGGUAGAGGCAAGCGGAACUAUGGGUGGAGCGGUGAAAUGCGUAGAUAUCCAUGGGAACGCCGGUGGCGAGAGCGGCUUGCUGGGCCUGUCCUGACGCUGAGACGCGAAAGCGUGGGGAGCAAACAGGAUUAGAUACCCUGGUAGUCCACGCCGUAAACGAUGCGCACUAGGUACGAGGACGCUGACGGAUCUCGUGCCGAAGUAAAAAUGUUAAGUGCGCCGCCUGGGGAGUACGGCCGCAAGGCUAAA
Molecule: ribosomal RNA, 375 nt
Filed under: uncultured bacterium
Lineage: Bacteria
Description: bacterial SSU rRNA
Rfam family: Bacterial small subunit ribosomal RNA
Source: RNAcentral